This 3360-nucleotide long non-coding RNA is filed under the name Xyrichtys novacula (pearly razorfish). The stretch from base 2073 to 2155 matches the Rfam family "tRNA", at positions 8 to 63 of the family's 71-position model. Lineage: Eukaryota; Metazoa; Chordata; Actinopteri; Labriformes; Labridae. The record is from RNAcentral.
GGGCUGGGCUUUUCAUUGACCAUGGGUUGGAAUAGUUCUGUGGGCAUAGUGUGUCUUCGAAGCCACUAUGUUUUCUGCACUUGUGACUAGAGAGCACCUUGAUAGCUCAGUUGGUAGAGCGGUGGACUGUAAGAUGCUCCUUGUGUGAAACGCUGUGAUCCGAAGGUGGCUGGUUCAACUCCAGCCGGAAGCACCUCCUUGUCAUUGGAAAUACCCCCAAGCCUUGUCUUUAUCUGUCAACUCUUCCAAAAUGUAAAAACACAAACAAGAUAACUCUUUCUUAAAUUUUCAACCAUCAAUUUUUUAAUCACCCAGCCUAAAAGUCCUGAUUAUCAGUUCUGGGUCCCUGGCAAUGACUGUUGGGUACAAACUGCAAAGCUUUGUUCAUCAGGUAGGGCUGGGCUUUUCAUUGACCAUGGGUUGGAAUAGUUCUGUGGGCAUAGUGUGUCUUCGAAGCCACUAUGUUUUCUGCACUUGUGACUACAGAGCACCUUGAUAGCUCAGUUGGUAGAGCGGUGCACUGUAAGAUGCUCCUUGUGUGAAACGCUGUGAUCCUAAGGUCGCUGGUUCAACUCCAGCCGGAAGCACCUCCUCGUCAUUGGAAAUACCCCAAAACCUUGUCUUUAUCUGUCAACUCCUCCAAAAUGUAAAAACACAAACAAGAUAACUCUUUCUUAAAUUUUCAACCAUCAAUUUUUUAUUCACCCAGCCUAAAAGUCCUGAUUAUCAGUUCUGGGUCCCUGGCAAUGACUGUUGGGUACAAACUGCAAAGCUUUGUUCGUCAGGUAGGGCUGGGCUUUUCAUUGACCAUGGGUUGGAAUAGUUCUGUGGGCAUAGUGUGUCUUCGAAGCCACUAUGUUUUCUGCACUUGUGACUCGAGAGCACCUUGAUAGCUCAGUUGGUAGAGCGGUGGACUGUAACAUGCUCCUUGUGUGAAACGCUGUGAUCCUAAGGUGGCUGGUUCAACUCCAGCCGGAAGCACCUCCUUGUCAUUGGAAAUACCCCAAAACCUUGUCUUUAUCUGUCAACUCCUCCAAAAUGUAAAAACACAAACAAGAUAACUCUUUCUUAAAUUUUCAACCAUCAAUUUUUUAUUCACCCAGCCUAAAAGUCCUGAUUAUCAGUUCUGGGUCCCUGGCAAUGACUGUUGGGUACAAACUGCAAAGCUUUGUUCGUCAGGUAGGGCUGGGCUUUUCAUUGACCAUGGGUUGGAAUAGUUCUGUGGGCAUAGUGUGUCUUCGAAGCCACUAUGUUUUCUGCACUUGUGACUAGAGAGCCCCUUGAUAGCUCAGUUGGUAGACCGGUGGACUGUAAGAUGCUCCUUGUGUGAAACGCUGUGAUCCUAAGGUCGCUCGUUCAACUCCAGCCGGAAACACCUCCUCGUCAUUGGAAAUACCCCCAAGCCUUGUCUUUAUCUGUCAACUCCUCCAAAAUGUAAAAACACAAACAAGAUAACUCGUUCUUAAAUUUUCAACCAUCAAUUUUUUAUUCACCCAGCCUAAAAGUCCUGAUUAUCAGUUCUGGGUCCCUGGCAAUGACUGUUGGGUACAAACUGCAAAGCUUUGUUCUGCAGGUAGGGCUGGGCUUUUCAUUGACCAUGGGUUGGAAUAGUUCUGUGGGCAUAGUGUGUCUUCGAAGCCACUAUGUUUUCUGCACUUGAGACUAGAGAGCCCCUUGAUAGCUCAGUUGGUAGAGCGGUCGACUGUAAGAUGCUCCUUGUGUGAAACGCUGUGAUCCUAAGGUCGCUGGUUCAACUCCAGCCGGAAGCACCUCCUUGUCAUUGGAAAUACCCCAAAGCCUUGUCUUUAUCUGUGAACUCCUCCAAAAUGUAAAAACACAAACAAGAUAACUCGUUCUUAAAUUUUCAACCAUCAAUUUUUUAUUCACCCAGCCUAAAAGUCCUGAUUAUCAGUUCUGGGUCCCUGGCAAUGACUGUUGGGUACAAACUGCAAAGCUUUGUUCGUCAGGUAGGGCUGGGCUUUUCAUUGACCAUGGGUUGGAAUAGUUCUGUGGGCAUAGUGUGUCUUCGAAGCCACUAUGUUUUCUGCACUUGUGACUAGAGAGCACCUUGAUAGCUCAGUUGGUAGAGCGGUGGACUGUAAGAUGCUCCUUGUGUGAAACGCUGUGAUCCUAAGGUCGCUGGUUCAACUCCAGCCGGAAGCACCUCCUCGUCAUUGGAAAUACCCCAAAACCUUGUCUUUAUCUGUCAACUCCUCCAAAAUGUAAAAACACAAACAAGAUAACUCUUUCUUAAAUUUUCAACCAUCAAUUUUUUAUUCACCCAGCCUAAAAGUCCUGAUUAUCAGUUCUGGGUCCCUGGCAAUGACUGUUGGGUACAAACUGCAAAGCUUUGUUCGUCAGGUAGGGCUGGGCUUUUCAUUGACCAUGGGUUGGAAUAGUUCUGUGGGCAUAGUGUGUCUUCGAAGCCACUAUGUUUUCUGCACUUGUGACUAGAGAGCACCUUGAUAGCUCAGUUGGUAGAGCGGUGGACUGUAACAUGCUCCUUGUGUGAAACGCUGUGAUCCUAAGGUCGCUGGUUCAACUCCAGCCGGAAGCACCUCCUCGUCAUUGGAAAUACCCCAAAACCUUGUCUUUAUCUCUCAACUCCUCCAAAAUGUAAAAACACAAACAAGAUAACUCUUUCUUAAAUUUUCAACCAUCAAUUUUUUAUUCACCCAGCCUAAAAGUCCUGAUUAUCAGUUCUGGGUCCCUGGCAAUGACUGUUGGGUACAAACUGCAAAGCUUUGUUCGUCAGGUAGGGCUGGGCUUUUCAUUGACCAUGGGUUGGAAUAGUUCUGUGGGCAUAGUGUGUCUUCGAAGCCACUAUGUUUUCUGCACUAGGGACAAGAGAGCCCCUUGAUAGCUCAGUUGGUAGAGCGGUGGACUGUAAGAUGCUCCUUGUGUGAAACGCUGUGAUCCUAAGGUGGCUGGUUCAACUCCGGCCGGAAGCACCUCCUUGUCAUUGGAAAUACCCCCAAGCCUUGUCUUUAUCUGUCAACUCCUCCAAAAUGUAAAAACACAAACAAGAUAACUCUUUCUUAAAUUUUCAACCAUCAAUUUUUUAUUCACCCAGCCUAAAAGUCCUGAUUAUCAGUUCUGGGUCCCUGGCAAUGACUGUUGGGUACAAACUGCAAAGCUUUGUUCGUCAGGUAGGGCUGGGCUUUUCAUUGACCAUGGGUUGGAAUAGUUCUGUGGGCAUAGUGUGUCUUCGAAGCCACUAUGUUUUCUGCACUUGUGACUAGAGAGCACCUUGAUAGCUCAGUUGGUAGAGCGGUCGACUGUAAGAUGCUCCUUGUGUGAAACGCUGUGAUCCUAAGGUCGCUGGUUCAACUCCAGCCUGAAGCACCUCCUUGUCAUUGG